UCGCCUUGGCACGCUCUCCUGCUCUCCUGGUCUACCCGCCUCUAGUUUCCUUCUUUCCCGCGUGGUUUUCCUUCCGGUUUGGUUCUCAAGCUCCAGAGCUAAUGGGAUCCAUUACUGUUCCACCAAUGUGCACCGGGCUCCAAUGAUGGGAGCGAGAACAAAACCCUUGGAGGCUCCCAGAGACGGAACCAUGACCCAAAAAACAAGCAUCGGGUAGAACGAGGCCCUACACGUAUGUAGCAGGUCCUGAGUUCAAAUCCCAGCAUCCACAUGAUGGCUCACAACCAACCGAAAUGAAAUCUGAUGCCUUCUUUUGGAGUGUCUGAAGACAGCUACAGUGAGCGAGCAGGGCUGGAGCGAGUAGAAAAAGUGUCUGAAGCCAGCUCUU
Molecule: long non-coding RNA, 388 nt
Organism: Apodemus sylvaticus (European woodmouse)
Lineage: Eukaryota; Metazoa; Chordata; Mammalia; Rodentia; Muridae
Exons: 3
Source: RefSeq, a predicted model, not a curated record